AAAUGGUGAUGCUGAAAAUUAAACUGAGGAACCUGAUUUUUACCAAUUCUCAAGUGACAAUUGAAUUAAUCAAGCAGAACUGAGCAGCCUUCAUUAUAUUGCUGGUUACUGCAUAAAAAGGUUGAAAAGUCAAAUAAUCAUUGUAUGUUUCAUCUUCAAACAAUAGAGAGCAACCAGUCAACACAGACAGAUCCCUCUCAAAGGUUCACUCAAUCAAAAGAAUAUAGAGAAAACUGCCUAGUUUAUAGCACCGAUGCCUGCUUCAGUUUAUUUCAGAAUGCAGAAAAUAUUGUUAGGGCAAAUGAAAAUAGUUUUGGAAAUUAGAGCAAUUUAUUAGGACGACUAGUACCUUUGGUAAACACUCGGACAUAAAAAUAUAACCUUUCCUUCUUGCCAUGACAUGAAGGGUAGACCCCUGAAGCUUUUUUUUUCACUUUAAGAUUACAUAUUUAUGCUAAAAAACAAGAGAAUAUUUGUAAGGCUCGGUCGUAAAAAUCAAAAGGCAGUGAAUUAGGGAGUAAGAGUAUAAUGAUGUGAAAAGCUAUAAUGAAUAUGGGUAAGCACCUAAUUUUGAAACCAUGUAUAAUAUUUUAUAAUACUUUUGUAUUUUAAAGGUGUAACUGUAACAAAGUUAUAAACUAUCAUUAGUAUAUUAAUAAACAUCUUAAUGGUUGAUAGAAACCUUAAGUUAAUAAUCAGCAGCAUAUGAUAAAACAGAGAGAGAAAAAGAGAAGAGCUGAGACAUCGCUCAGGCGGAUGAGUACAGCUGAACAGGACAGGAGCAAGAUGGCACCCUGUCAAAAGGUUGGCCAAACUCUCUCUAUAUAUGGCUCUGGUCAGUCAGUACUAUAUGAGAUAGGAUGAGAUAUGAUGAAUAGGAGAUGGAGAUUGCUGAGACAUGUCUCUCACCAAAUUCCUUGGGAAAGAGCACAUUACAGUGUCAACUUGGCUUCUUUGGGUGCCAUAAGAGUUGGAAGACCCAAACUUACUUGGAUGAUAGUUGGUAGAAAGGAGGCUGGAGAAGUGUGGAGAUUUAAAACUUCAAGCGUCCAUUGCAUCACAUGGCAUUGGAGGUGAUAAUGAUGAUAGAAUAUAUUUAAAGUGCCCAAGUUUCUUAUUAGAAAGGUUGAUGUUGUGGGUUUAGAUAGGUUGGUUUUUUUAUUUUGAGGCCAAACCAAAAAAUACUAAAGGUAACUGGUGAAAGAUGCUGGUGUGUAAAGUCCUUUGAAAGGCCGUUUAAAUAUUGAUUUUUUAACUAGAAAGGUUAGGUUUGCUUUGAAACUUGCAGCGUAAUGCUAUGUAAGUCAGUGGUUUGUUUAAUUUAAAAACAUUUCUUCUUUUCAGUCUGGGGGUGAGCUUGAAAAUGCAGAGCAACUUGGAGCUACUAUAAUGAGCCUGUUGUCUUGCACCAGUAAAUCUCAGUUAUGGCCAGGAGAUUCUGGAGAAGCUUUCAAAAAAAUAUCCAUUACCUAUACUGACCACAGUUACGUCGUUUGUCUAUCUAAUAAGAAUAUCCAUGUUGUAAAGCGUAAAUUUAUGCCAGUUGACCCAAUAAAGGUUUGAUUUUCUACUUUUAAGGUUUGUACAGUUGUAAUAUUUGAAAGUAAAGCCUGUGAUUUUAUUAUUAUGCAGUUUAACAGUACAACUUAUGACUACCUGUAUUAUUUCAAAGUUUCUAUUAUAAAGCCACCUGUAGCAAGUUUAAUAUUUUUGUCUGUAUACUUGUUCUGAAAUUUUUGGUAACAGUAGUAAUGAAAUUUAAAAAGAAAAAAUCCUUUCAAUACCUAAUGUAUAUUAAUUUAGAUUCUUGAUCAUGGUUUAAUAUAUGGACGUUAUUGUACAUAUUGGUUUGUGGUUAUCUUGCCAAUAAUGUUCAUGUACACAAAUGACUCAAAUCUCAAUUUUUCAUUGAUAAUGUAAUUUCAGGAAAUAUUUUUUUUCAUUUUAGGAUUUGAACAGUGCGUACAGUAUCAUUUGUAUGAGAAUCAAGUCUGUACAUAAAAAAUGGCAUUUAUUGAAGCAAACACAUUUGAUAACUGUCACUCUGUACACCUAAAGAUUGUAAGUUUUCUGUAUUUAAAGUACAGUGGAAGCUCAAGUAGUCAAGUAAAUGUAUUUAUGCUUGCCUGUAUUACGGCUUUGAAGAUGAUUUUAUUAAAAUAUUAUUAUUAUAAUUAUGUUUAUGAUUCAUAUGUUUGUUUUAUGCCCAUUUGAUUAAGGGAGAAAUUAAAUAAACUUUGCUUAGUACAGU
Molecule: long non-coding RNA, 2251 nt
Organism: Macrobrachium nipponense
Lineage: Eukaryota; Metazoa; Arthropoda; Malacostraca; Decapoda; Palaemonidae
Exons: 2
Source: RefSeq, a predicted model, not a curated record